UUUCGAUCUUUAUUGAGGUCAUCUUCAGGGCUCAAAGUGUUUUUUUUCUGUGUGGAUGUGUCAUUACUGUGUGUUGUAUUGAAACUCAAUCGUGUUGACACAUCUACACAGAAACAAACCCUUUGAGCAUGAUCAUGCAUCAUCAUAAAUAAUAAAGAUCGAAACGUUGGCAUGUCACACUAGACCGAUCUCAUGAUCUUCAAAAAAUAAUCAGUAAUUAUAAUGUCCAAACAUUUAACUUUAGCAUGAACUAAAAUGAUACAAAAGAAUAAAAGAAAUAAAAUGAUUGUCAGCCACAUUUGAUAGACAGAACAUCAAUAUAGUAGUUUAUAUAGAACUAUUUUUGUUAGAAUGUUUUAAUAUGAUGAAUUCCAAUUGUAAUACUUCUUUACUUUGUUUAUUUAUCGAGAAAAAAGCCAACUCAUUCAUUAAAGGUUUCUAUUAUAUUUAUUGAGUAGCUUUAAUAAUGGAUUGAAAAUAUCAUAUAAUUUGUAAGAUUAAAAAAAUAUUGAAAACUUGUAUAUAAGAAACUUUUAUUGCCAAUAUUAUUAAAUAAAGUUUUCAUGGCACAGUGAUGAUUUUCGUUUAUGAACAUCCCAAUGAUUACAAUAAUAAAUUUACUCUUGAACUCUCUAUCUGAGUGCUUUUGAAAACAAAACCCUAAUGACUUAUAAAUGCUGAUUUGGGUGUGUCAACUAUUUUGAAUGGACAUGUUUUGUAUUUCUUAGAAAUAUAAAAUAAAUACAGCUUGUAAAAAAAUCCUUUUUUAACAGUGAUCUUGGACAUGCAAGUUGGUACCACUGAAACUGGGCCAAUUAAUUAACUUUGUACAAGCAUUUGUUGGCUGCCAUCAUUGCCAUCAAGAAUUCUAGACAAAACAAAAUUCACAUAGGUUUUUAAUUUUUUUUUUUUUUAACAUAGAUUUGUAACAUGCAAGCUGAAUGGCGAAAUGAUGAUAUUUGAUAGGGACAUCUGUAAAUUAUUUGAUGAAUUAUCGUGAUCUGAUUGCCAUUUUCUGUGUUAAUGGAAUCAGCAAAUUAAUUUUGAUUUAUCAAGUAAUGAUCGAUCAUUUUGGUGUGACACCUGUUAUUAACAUGCCCAGUAUUGUUUAGAAAUAUAGAAAUAUAUAUCUCAUAACUGGAA
Cimex lectularius (bed bug) is the source of this 1143-nucleotide long non-coding RNA. RefSeq lists it as uncharacterized. NCBI's taxonomy places the organism in Eukaryota, Metazoa, Arthropoda, Insecta, Hemiptera, Cimicidae. The transcript has 2 exons. The record is from RefSeq and is a predicted model, not a curated record.